UCCGUAGGUGAACCUGCGGAAGGAUCAUAGUAAUCGUCU
This 39-nucleotide ribosomal RNA is filed under the name Tulasnella sp. YK-2009. RNAcentral's name for it is "Epulorhiza sp. YK-2009 partial 18S ribosomal RNA". RNAcentral also lists the same sequence under 1 other name. The record is from RNAcentral. Lineage: Eukaryota; Fungi; Basidiomycota; Agaricomycetes; Cantharellales; Tulasnellaceae.